GCUCAUCUCUUCACUGUCACUGCUCAACACCAUCGUCGUAUCCUCUGUCACCAGUUCAAAGGUGUGUAUGAUUUUGAUAGUGAUGAUGAACUGCAAUGGCUAAUUGAGAUACAGAAGGUGCUGGAAAUUUCAUACGUGCAUGCUAAACUAGGGAAAUCAUUCUGUAGGAAAGUGUCGAUUUCUCUGCUUCUUUUCUUCCUUCUUAAUACCUUUCAUUGAUUGUAAUUAUGUAGAUUUCGAUUUUCAAUUUUGCAGUUUAUCUCCUUUUGUUUUUCAGCAAAUCGUUGAUCAAACAAUCAAGGAAUCGGAUCAAUGUGAUAAGGAGAAAGAGAAAUUCAGCAAAGAAGUUUCUUAAGCAAGACACCAUUGAUCUGCUUGCGAAUCAUUUACAGUAUUGAAACUGUUCAAGUGGAUUUGGCAUGUUAUCACACAAGGUUGUGCACCUGAUUCAAGGCAUAAACGAGCAAAA
Molecule: long non-coding RNA, 469 nt
Organism: Arachis stenosperma
Lineage: Eukaryota; Viridiplantae; Streptophyta; Magnoliopsida; Fabales; Fabaceae
Exons: 4
Source: RefSeq, a predicted model, not a curated record